AUAUUGCACAAUGGGGGAAACCCUGAUGCAGCGACGCCGCGUGAGCGAAGAAGGCCUNNNGGUCGNACAGCUCUGUCCCUAGGNAACNAACGGACGGUACCUCAGGAGGAAGCCCCGGCUAACUACGUGCCAGCAGCCGCGGUAAUACGUAGGGGGCGAGCGUUAUCCGGAAUUACUGGGCGUAAAGGGCGCGUAGGCGGCCUUUUAAGUCAGAUGUGAAAGGCUACGGCUUAACCGUAGUUAGCAUUUGAAACUAAAAGGCUUGAGUGCAGGAGAGGAGAGUGGAAUUCCUAGUGUAGCGGUGAAAUGCGUAGAUAUUAGGAGGAACACCAGUGGCGAAGGCGACUCUCUGGACUGCAACUGACGCUGAGGCACGAAAGCGUGGGGAGCGAAC
RNAcentral lists this ribosomal RNA (394 nucleotides) under uncultured bacterium. Its description in RNAcentral is "partial 16S ribosomal RNA". It matches the Rfam family "Bacterial small subunit ribosomal RNA", at positions 361 to 773 of the family's 1533-position model. The record is from RNAcentral.